GAUGAACGCUGGCGGCGUGCCUAAUACAUGCAAGUCGAGCGAACGGACGAGAAGCUUGCUUCUCUGAUGUUAGCGGCGGACGGGUGAGUAACACGUGGAUAACCUACCUAUAAGACUGGGAUAACUUCGGGAAACCGGAGCUAAUACCGGAUGAUAUUUUGAACCGCAUGGUUCAAAAGUGAAAGACGGUCUUGCUGUCACUUAUAGAUGGAUCCGCGCUGCAUUAGCUAGUUGGUAAGGUAACGGCUUACCAAGGCAACGAUGCAUAGCCGACCUGAGAGGGUGAUCGGCCACACUGGAACUGAGACACGGUCCAGACUCCUACGGGAGGCAGCAGUAGGGAAUCUUCCGCAAAGGGCGAAAGCCUGACGGAGCAACGCCGCGUGAGUGAUGAAGGUCUUCGGAUCGUAAAACUCUGUUAUUAGGGAAGAACAUAUGUGUAAGUAACUGUGCACAUCUUGACGGUACCUAAUCAGAAAGCCACGGAUAACUACGUG
Molecule: ribosomal RNA, 497 nt
Filed under: uncultured bacterium
Lineage: Bacteria
Description: partial 16S ribosomal RNA
Rfam family: Bacterial small subunit ribosomal RNA
Source: RNAcentral